GACGAACGCUGGCGGCGUGCUUAACACAUGCAAGUCGAACGGAAAGGCCCUGCUUUUGUGGGGUGCUCGAGUGGCGAACGGGUGAGUAACACGUGAGUAACCUGCCCUUGACUUUGGGAUAACUUCAGGAAACUGGGGCUAAUCCCGGAUAGGAGCUCCUGCUGCAGGGUGGGGGUUGGAAAGUUUCGGCGGUUGGGGAUGGACUCGCGGCUUAUCAGCUUGUUGGUGGGGUAGUGGCUUACCAAGGCUUUGACGGGUAGCCGGCCUGAGAGGGUGACCGGCCACAUUGGGACUGAGAUACGGCCCAGACUCCUACGGGAGGCAGCAGUGGGGAAUAUUGCACAAUGGGCGGAAGCCUGAUGCAGCAACGCCGCGUGCGGGAUGACGGCCUUCGGGUUGUAAACCGCUUUCGCCUGUGACGAAGCGUGAGUGACGGUAAUGGGUAAAGAAGCACCGGCUAACUACGUG
RNAcentral lists this ribosomal RNA (468 nucleotides) under uncultured bacterium. RNAcentral's name for it is "partial 16S ribosomal RNA". It matches the Rfam family "Bacterial small subunit ribosomal RNA", at positions 28 to 507 of the family's 1533-position model. The record is from RNAcentral.